GCAAAACGACGUCGUCAGAUAAAUCGAUUAGAUUGAACUGACUUUUGAAAUAACGCAGUGAUAAAUAUUUUAGCAAUUGUUUUAUAACGUACAGCAUAUUUUAUUGUUUUUAACAAAACAGUGUAUGGAUUUAUUUUGACGAGUGUGCAUUCUGUUUUUUUUUUCUUUUUUUUGAGGGGGGAGGGGGGUCUGCUUAGAAAAGUUUACAUAUCUAAAUAAUAAAUUUCAUACAUUUCUAUUGAUAUGUUUAUAUCGAAACCCAAAAUUCUUAAGUGUCGGAAAUAAACACUUUUGUUGAGCUAGUCCCAUUAUAAGUAAAUUUAUUUAACUACAUGUAAGAUAACCAAUACUAGCCUUUGUUUAAUUAAAAUUGUAAUUUGAAAGAGAGAAGAAAGAAAAACACAGCACAAACUUAUUUCCUUUAAAAGGAUUCAAAGAUGUCCAAAAAUGGACAAUAAGAAAGACAUUUAACUGAGUUUUUCAAUGCGUAUAUAUUGUAUGUGUCUUUGUUUAAUAUUAUACAUUGGCUAGAGGUACAAUGUAUAGGUGGAGAGUUGAGAUCUCACAAAACAUGUUUAGGAUCCUCUGGCAUUUAUAAGUCAUUAUUUGCAUAUAUGUUUUGUUUUGUUUUAAUUUUAGUUCAUUUAUAUGUUUUAGAGUUCAGUGUGACGUCCAUUUUCAUUGAACUAGUAUACAUUUUUGUUCUCGCUGAAGCCCCAUUGUUGGCCUAUAAUUGUGCUUUCUGCUCUUAGGCUGUUAUGUUGUCUCUUUGAAACAUUCCCCAUUUCCAUACCUAAUUUUAUAAUAAACAGCUACUCAAUAAUGAACCAACACCAUACAAUAUUACGAUAAAAAAUUGUUUUCGUGCAUGGGACCGAUAAAAUCAAUGUUGAUUAAUAAGUCCAGUGGCAAAUAUUUCAAACUGAAAGAAUUGACAAACAUCAACAACAUUGACCUGUAAUUAGUAAGUCAAGAAACUGUGUGUAGCUAGACAAAUGUCCAGUUUGUAAAAAACCAUAAUGGCCAAAAAGUGCAUAAUAAAACAUAAAUAAUAGAGAAAUAUGGGCAAAAACCAAUGGAUAAUAAGAAGUGUUAAAUAGAAUGAAUAGAGAAUAAUGAAAAAAAAUAAAGAUUAGAAAAUAAUGAAUGAAAUAAAUAAAGAACAGAGAAUAAUUAAUUAAUUAAAGAAAGAAAGAAAGAAAUAAAGAAAGAAAGAAUAGAUAAUAAUGAACGAAAUAAAUAGAAGAAAAGAGUCUAGAAAUCAAAGAAUAAAAAACUAGGAACCCCCAUUCGUACCCUCAUGUAUGUCUAGAAAAUGUCGUCCCAGUAAGCAGACACUAAACACUACUAUAGCACUGACGUACGUGGUGCAGCUAAUAUGCAAAAAUCGAUCGUUAUAAUUAAGUGAUAGUGAGUGCUUAUAUUACAUCACUUGAUUGGUUUUAAAUAUACAUUCUUGAUAAAGUAUGCAGGAUGACAACUCUUUAAUCUCUUUAGAAUCUUCUUGGUUUGAAACAAGACACAUGGUAAUUAAGCAAUUUUACAGUUAGAAACGUUCGACUGUUAAAUUUAGUUUCGAACUUCACAAGCAAAAAAGGGAAAAUAGCAUAUUUCUAAGUUUUACCCGACCGGGUUUCGAGUGUUUGAACUGGGUUUUCGAUAAUUCUCUUUUUUCUAAAAUUCUUGUUUUAAUCUAAAACUGUAUUGUAACUUGAUAAAGGUGACCGGGAAGUAUAGGGGGAGGUUCAUGGCGUUACUUUUCUAUUGGUAUCAAGCCACUUGACAUCGAACUCGAUAGGACAACUGGUUCCUCGAGAGCGGAAAAUUUAGCUUAACUGAAAUGGUAUAUCACAGAGAACAACGAAUUCCAUGUAGAAUUGAGAUAGGUUGUGUAACACUGAAAAUGAGAGACGUUAAGCCGGGGUCACACAUUCACGAGUUUUACUACCGCUCUUGAAAGGACCAUUCCCGAUUAAAAUUUGUCAAAAGUCUGAUCAAGAUCCUGUGAAUCGUGAAUGAAAAUUCAAACUUGAAUUAAAAUUUGUAAAACAAUAAUUUAUUCACGACAACAAUCAGAUAUUAUUCAGGAAGCGUCGAUAUUCAACCGUUUCGAAGCGAAUUUAUCCCGAUAAUCCCGUUCUCAAUCCGCUUCUUAUCCAAUUUGUAAUCUUUCGCCAGGUAAAAUUCGACCGAGUAUGUUACGACUGCGUCCCGAUUCUACCGAAUGUAAUCCGACAGAGACCAGACAGUGACCAGACAAGACAGUGAACCGACGCUGACGGAAGUUAUCCGUUCGAAAACUGUCUGCAUAAUCCGGAUGAGCAGGUACUGUCGGAACGUUAUCCUGUUAAGGUCCGCUCUAUCGCAUUGCAAACGGCUUUGUCUGGUCUCAGUCGUAUUGUAUUCUGUAAUUGUCGGGACUCUGAAGUGGGUAUUAUUGACGAAUUUUGUAUUAUUUAAUAACUGUUCCGGAACAGUUUCGGCAAAAACGGUUCGUAAAUCCUCACAAGAGCUGGACUCAAUCUGCAGAAAAAACGCAAUGAAAAUUUCUCCAGAUCAUUUCCGUUCCACAGGACACCGCCCAGAAUACACAUAACAAAGUUAGGAUUUUGAUCCGAUACAGCAGAAUCUGUCACGACGUAGGCACGAUUGUAAUCCGACUAGACAAAAUCGGCUGAGUUUCCCCGAAUGUUACGGGACGCACCUAACAGUCGGGGUGCUUCGCAGAACUAUUCGGACCCUUCCCCGACACUUAGGAAUCUGUUCCGAAAUUAAACGACUGCGUUCAAACAAUGAUAGGACAUUCCAGAUAAUUGAGGAUAGUAAUCCGACUUUUUCAUUUUUCGUUUCGUAUCGCUGUCUGAUCUCAAACGGGAGCAAUAAUCGGCAAUGUGUGAACCCCGCAUUAAACCUCUACAUACAUCAAUUUAAAUACUACAAGACAAUAGGCAGUUUUUGUAGAAUUGAUAAAGAUAGUAAAAGAGGGACUUUUACGCAAAGGAGGUUGUUCACAUCUCUAAUUCGUUUGUUAUAUACAAAAAAGGCAGCGUCUAGUUCUUGUAGAAUUGAAAUAGAAUAAAGGGAAAUUGUAGACAACUUAAGGGAGGCUGCAGUAUGCAUCUUACCAUCGUAAUUAUUUUGAUUAAAGCUAAGUUUAAGUAUUUCCUAUAGUCGGUUGAGUUUUAAUAAACCGUGAACAAAAAAAAACAUGUGUGAUAUUUAUACACCAGGCAAUGUCUUUCAAUGCAUCUUUUUGAAAACCAUUAAGAAGGAAGGGAGCACUGAAUACAUAAGAGGGGGCUGCUCCAGUCAUGUUUCAGUGAUUCUUUAUUUAAGCCUCCCCUAAAUCCGCCUCUGAUUAACCACGCCAGCUAGAACAGACAAUUUUGUUAACUGUCUUUUAGACUGACAACGAAAAACUUCAUUAAUUAAUACGGAAUAUAUUAGAUUUAUUUACAUGCAACUGAGCCAAAGCCAUUAAUAAUAAACAGUUGACAUUAAUCAGCAUUUGUUUAGAGGCAUUAAUCUUCUAUAAAACGAGAUUUUAUCGUAUAUUAUAACUAGAUUUCAUCGUUUAUAAAGAUACUUUGUCGUUUAUAAUUCAUCCCAAGAUAAUUAUUAUAUUAACAGCAUGUAUUGAUGAUUAACUUAUGAAUUAAUAUAUUGUAACGUCCAGCACAUAGAAAACGAGAUAAUAUAAAUGAAUUUGGAAAUAUAAGCAACAUAGCUGUAGUAAUUAAGUAGAAGACAUUUUAUUCACAAAUUAACCUGCCACAAAGAAUUACCCUUUCACGUGUGUGAGAAUAUGUAUAAAGCCAAUUCACGGCUUCUGAUAAUUUAUUUGUAGAAAAUUUGUUGGGAUGUCUUACCGUUGGUCAUAAAAAAAAACUAAGAUGAUGCCAUUAAAUUAGAAAGACAAACAGCACCACGAGGCUGUGGAUGUAAAAUUACAGAAUAGACAACAAUCAGCAAAAAUAUAUAGAAUAAAGAAAAAUAGACUAAAAUAUAUAGAAUAAAGAAAAAUAGACUAAAAUAUACAGAAUAAAGAAAAAUAGACUAAAAUAUAUAGAAUAAAGAAAAAUAGACUAAAAUGAUAAAGAAUAGAAAUAAUGAGGUGCUUGGAUAUAAUGAAUAGAGAAUAAUGGCCAAAAGUAUGAAUAAUGCAGAAAAAAUGAUAUAAGAAUAGAAAUAAAGGAUCUCGUAAUCCAAACCCUUCACUAUGAACAAAACUCUACACAUAUAACUAAAGAAAUAAUAACCCUGUAUAAAUGUGUUUCUUCUGGAGAAAAUUUCUGGCUUGAUUUUUAUCUGAAAAGAUCAUACUCAAUACAUUGAAGCCAUUGAUGCCUAGGUACUUUAACAUGUGAAGCGUUAUCAAGAUGUGCAUAACGUUGAUUGGUUGGUUUCGAACACCACGUUGAUUGGUUGGUUUCGAACACCACGUUGAUUGGUUGGUUUCGAACACCACUUUCAUCACUAUUGGCCAUUUCGUGGUGGAGGAAGCAUCGAUUUUCGGCAGGAAAACUGACAAUUCUAGACAAUACAGAUUGAAGUCUAAUCCACCUGACACGUGCGUGGUUUGAAUUCACAACCUGAAUUCUGACAAGCUAGUGAUACAAAAACAAUGGGAGACCGAGGCCCUACAUAGAAGAAGAAGAAAAAAAAAAUAUUUACUAAAAUGUAAAUAACACUUAAUAAAUUGAAUGAAAUAAGGGAGCUACCAUUUGAUUUUUAUGGGGGGGCUAGGAUGAAAAAUUUUGUCCUGCAUUUUUUUUUAGCUGUAAUCUCUGUCCUGCCUUUUUAUUUUUCACUCUGUUAGGUCCUGCCUUUUUUUUUUAGUUUAUCCUGACUUUUUUUUACCUAAAUUGUUGUCCUGACUUUUUUUUUUUGCAAGUGUCUCAUCCUGCCUUUUUUUUUACUCAAAACUCCUGUCCUGCCUAUUUUUUCAAAUUUCAUCCUAGCCCCCCAUCAAAAAUCAAAUGGUAGCUCCAACGAUGAAAACUAUUACUUUAAUGAUAAAAAUAAAUAAUUCAGCUGGUCUCUCAUAAUCUUCAUCAAAAUUUAAUGACAAAUAAAAAUUGAUAUUGAUUAUUUUAUAUCAUCUAAUAACGUUAUACAAAAUUUAAUUUUAUUUAAGAAAAAAAUAACCAUUCGAUUUUACUUUUC
Molecule: long non-coding RNA, 5166 nt
Filed under: Mytilus galloprovincialis (Mediterranean mussel)
Lineage: Eukaryota; Metazoa; Mollusca; Bivalvia; Mytilida; Mytilidae
Source: RNAcentral